Molecule: long non-coding RNA, 297 nt
Organism: Vigna angularis (adzuki bean)
Lineage: Eukaryota; Viridiplantae; Streptophyta; Magnoliopsida; Fabales; Fabaceae
Exons: 2
Source: RefSeq, a predicted model, not a curated record
UCCAAGUGUGAGUCUAAGUCCCACAUUGGAGAGAAAUGAGAAAGUAGAGUGGUUUAUAAGUGGGAAGACCCAUUAACUCAUUGCCUUAAGGUUUUGGGUAAAAGAGUGGUGUCAACUACUUAUAAGGUUGGACUCACAUCUCAUUUGCUUAUUCACUUCCCGAAUCGGCAAGAAGGAAGAAACAGAUAUUCUUUGAAAAAACAAGUUUAGUUUAAAGAAAGUCAUACAUAGUACAAGACCUAGAAUGUUCAUUUCUUUUCGGAAAUCAUGUUAUGAUAUAAAAAUAGUUGGACUUUU